UGCAGGCUGCAACUCGCCUGCAUGAAGUCGGAAUUGCUAGUAAUCGCGGAUCAGCAUGCCGCGGUGAAUACGUUCCCGGGCCUUGUACACACCGCCCGUCACACCAUGGGAGUCGGUAACACCCGAAGCCGAUAGUCUAACGAAAGAGGACGUCGUCGAAGGUGGGAUUGAUGACUGGGGUGAAGUCGUAACAAGGUAAC
RNAcentral lists this ribosomal RNA (200 nucleotides) under uncultured bacterium. Its description in RNAcentral is "partial 16S ribosomal RNA". It matches the Rfam family "Bacterial small subunit ribosomal RNA", at positions 1299 to 1500 of the family's 1533-position model. The record is from RNAcentral.